GUGCUUGCUUUGGCAGCACUUAUACUGAAAUUGAAACGAAGCAGAGAAGGGUAGCAAUUCCUUGUGCAAGGAGCACAUGCAAACUCAUGAAGUGCUUUAUAUUUAA
Molecule: small nuclear RNA, 106 nt
Organism: Mesocricetus auratus (golden hamster)
Lineage: Eukaryota; Metazoa; Chordata; Mammalia; Rodentia; Cricetidae
Source: Ensembl